CUAAAGGGAAGUUCGAUUAGUAUCGCUACGUCACGUAGCAACAUCGAACCAACCCACGUCGUGUGGG
Molecule: small RNA, 67 nt
Filed under: Pontibacillus yanchengensis Y32
Lineage: Bacteria; Bacillati; Bacillota; Bacilli; Caryophanales; Bacillaceae
Description: Bacillaceae-1 RNA
Rfam family: Bacillaceae-1 RNA
Source: Rfam by way of RNAcentral